RNAcentral lists this unclassified non-coding RNA (1177 nucleotides) under Mizuhopecten yessoensis (Yesso scallop). RNAcentral describes it as "uncharacterized LOC110456702, transcript variant X1". The record is from RNAcentral. Lineage: Eukaryota; Metazoa; Mollusca; Bivalvia; Pectinida; Pectinidae.
GUGCAGCACACAUUUGAGAGUAGCCCCCCUUCCUUUUAUAUUGAAACAAUCUGGUAAGAGAUGUAGACAAUACUUGAAGAUUGAAAUCAUCAGGGGACCUAAACACAACCUAAAUGGACCGAAUUCGACGAAUGUUAGGGACAACGAGAGAAGAUUACUCUCAAGACUGUCAGAGUCGGAUAGCUGACAAUACCAGUUUGAACUCCAAGGCUGUGCCUGAUCAGGAUUGUUUAGAGUGUAAACUUAUUGGGACAGCAGUACCUGUUGGCGCAGCAGGAUAUAUUCUGUAUCACCACAGACAGAAGAUUGGCGUUUACAAGGGAUACGAAGGAAUGCUUUGGAAUAUCCUGUGUUUAGGAAUGUCAUCAGCCUUGAUUUUGGUUGGAGGGUGUCGCUUCUUUGAUUGUGGGAUGUUCAAACACUUAAAAACCAACUCAAAGACAGAUACAUCACAAGAUGACAAGGAUUGAUUGGGUCGGUUUUAGUGUAAUAUGUCAAAGUCUUCGUAUCAUUAUUUCUGAUCAAAAGCUGGUCUUUUUUCAUGUUGUCAAACCAUUUGAUUGAUUCAUGAAGUAUGUGCAUGUUUGAUAAAUGUAAAAACCAGUUGAAUUUUACCUUCACACAAAUGAUGUAUUACAAUAGAUGUAGUGCGGAAGGCUAUCUUUACAUUGCAACCAUAGCAGUAUGGAGCAAUGAGAUUUGUAGCUGAUUAUUGUGCCAUUACAUAUAUCAAACACAUUUACAUUUUGACAUCAUAAAUAUAAGUAAGCAAUAACUGAAGGAAAUCAGACAGAGACAGUCCGAGUCAACAUGUAUGGUAGUAAGGGCUUUGAUUCAAAACAGAGGCACUUCCUUUUCAAAUAAGCAUUAUCAUGACUAUAUAUGGACAAUCCUUAAAAUGUUCAUAAGAAUUUAUCUGUAUCAUGGUUGAAAUGAGUUAUAUAAUAUUCUUAAAUGUAGCUCAAUGCAACAUUCCUAUAUAUCAAAGUUAAUGAACAAUGCAUUAUCUUAAUUCAAUAUUGAUGUAUGAUCGGAUUAUUUGAAAUUGUUCAUGAUUUAUGUAAAAUAUUUAAUUAAUGUUCAUGAUGUAUGGUUGUAGAUGUUUGUCAUUGCAAGUAUCCUUAGUGAGGAUUUAUGUAAUAGAUAUGUGCUGCUAUAAUAAAGUAUACAAAAAUUG